Molecule: ribosomal RNA, 535 nt
Filed under: uncultured Bacteroidota bacterium
Lineage: Bacteria; Pseudomonadati; Bacteroidota
Description: bacterial SSU rRNA
Rfam family: Bacterial small subunit ribosomal RNA
Source: RNAcentral
AAUAUUGGUCAAUGGAGGCAACUCUAACCACCAUGCCGCGUGAAGGAAGAAUGUCUACGGAUUGUAAAUCUUUUAUUUGGGAAGAACUCCCUCUACGUGUAGAGGGCUGACCGGUACCAMACGAAUAAGGAACCGGCUAACUCCGUGCCAGCAGCCGCCGGUAAUACCGSAGGGUCCAAGCGUUAUCCGGGAAUCAUUUGGGUUUAAAGGGUUCGCAGGCCGGUUUAUUAAGUCAGUGGUGAAAGCSUACAGCUCAACUGUAGAACUGCCAWUGAUACUGAUWGWCUUGAAUUUAGUUGAAGUAGGCGGAAUGUGUAGUGUAGCGGUGAAAUGCUUAGAUAUUACACAGAACACCGAUWGCGAAGGCAGCUUACUAAACUACGAUUGACGCUCAUGGACGAAAGCGUGGGGAGCGAACAGGAUUAGAUACCCUGGUAGUCCACGCAGUAAACGAUGAUUACUCGUUAUUGGCGAUAUACGGUCAGUGACUAAGCGAAAGUGAUAAGUAAUCCACCUGGGGAGUACGGUCGCAAGA